UGCUUGAUGAAGAUGCUUUCCUUAGA
This 26-nucleotide non-coding RNA is filed under the name Rattus norvegicus (Norway rat). The record is from RNAcentral. Lineage: Eukaryota; Metazoa; Chordata; Mammalia; Rodentia; Muridae.